Molecule: small nuclear RNA, 102 nt
Filed under: Microcebus murinus (gray mouse lemur)
Lineage: Eukaryota; Metazoa; Chordata; Mammalia; Primates; Cheirogaleidae
Source: RNAcentral
GUGCUCUCUUCCACAGCACAUAUACUAAAAUUGGAAUAGAGAAGAUUAGCAUGGCCCCUGCACAAGGAUGACAUGCAAAUUCAUGAAGUGUUCCAUAUUAAA